Molecule: long non-coding RNA, 335 nt
Organism: Cimex lectularius (bed bug)
Lineage: Eukaryota; Metazoa; Arthropoda; Insecta; Hemiptera; Cimicidae
Exons: 3
Source: RefSeq, a predicted model, not a curated record
CAGGCGAUGUUUACGUUGUCUCAGGCCGUUGUAAAUAAAUAAAAACACGCGAUUUCCCCCGAAUAUAUACGGUAAUUAGUGCCUUAAUUUCCCGACGCGGCUUUUCCAGUGUGGUUUCGCCCGGAAGUAAGCCAGCGAGGAGCGCCAGCUGUGAGGAUCCCAAGCCGAACUGAGCCCAGAUUACUUCAGAACGCGGAAUAUACAGAUGUAGAACAACGUGCUCAAAAACGAAGCUACUGGAUAAGGUGUUGCAUCAAGAUCUACCCAUCGCCCAAAUUUGUCAAGAUUUCGCAGGUAAACCUACUUUUCACAGCAUGUAACAUUCUUUAGGUUCU